RNAcentral lists this ribosomal RNA (496 nucleotides) under uncultured bacterium. RNAcentral describes it as "partial 16S ribosomal RNA". It matches the Rfam family "Bacterial small subunit ribosomal RNA", at positions 29 to 507 of the family's 1533-position model. The record is from RNAcentral.
AUGAACGCUGGCGGCGUGCCUAAUACAUGCAAGUCGAGCGAACAGACGAGGAGCUUGCUCCUCUGACGUUAGCGGCGGACGGGUGAGUAACACGUGGAUAACCUACCUAUAAGACUGGGAUAACUUCGGGAAACCGGAGCUAAUACCGGAUAAUAUAUUGAACCGCAUGGUUCAAUAGUGAAAGACGGUUUUGCUGUCACUUAUAGAUGGAUCCGCGCCGCAUUAGCUAGUUGGUAAGGUAACGGCUUACCAAGGCGACGAUGCGUAGCCGACCUGAGAGGGUGAUCGGCCACACUGGAACUGAGACACGGUCCAGACUCCUACGGGAGGCAGCAGUAAGGAAUCUUCCGCAAUGGGCGAAAGCCUGACGGAGCAACGCCGCGUGAGUGAUGAAGGUCUUCGGAUCGUAAAACUCUGUUAUUAGGGAAGAACAAAUGUGUAAGUAACUAUGCACGUCUUGACGGUACCUAAUCAGAAAGCCACGGCUAACUACGUG